UAGCGUAUAUUAAAGUUGUUGCAGUUAAAAAGCUCGUAGUUGAAUUUCUGGACUCGCCGAGAGGCGGCCUUUGGCCGACCACUCCGCAAGUUCAUCCUCGCCCCUCGGGGCGUCAUUUACUGUGAAAAAAUUAGAGUGUUUAAAGCAGGCUUUAGGCUUGAAUACAUUAGCAUGGAAUAAUGAGAUAGGACCAAGUCGUAUUUUGUUGGUUGCGCGAUUCGGUAAUGAUUAAUAGGGACAGUUGGGGGUAUUCAUAUUUAAUUGUCAGAGGUGAAAUUCUUAGAUUUAUUAAAGAUGAACUACUGCGAAAGCAUUUACCAAGGAUGUUUUCAUUAAUCAAGAACGAAAGUCAGGGGAUCGAAGAGGAUUAGAUACCCUCGUAGUCUUGACCAUAAACUAUGCCGACUCAGGAUUGGCACCCUUUUUUAACAGGGUGUCAGCACUGUAUGAAAAAUCAAAGUCUUUGGGUUCCGGGGGGAGUAUGGUCGCAAGGCUGAAACUUAAAGGAAUUGACGGAAGGGCACCACCAGGAGUGGAGCCUGCGGCUUAA
Molecule: ribosomal RNA, 550 nt
Filed under: uncultured marine picoplankton
Lineage: Eukaryota
Description: SSU rRNA
Rfam family: Eukaryotic small subunit ribosomal RNA
Source: RNAcentral